Gavia stellata (red-throated loon) is the source of this 1817-nucleotide long non-coding RNA. RefSeq lists it as uncharacterized. The record is from RefSeq and is a predicted model, not a curated record. The transcript has 3 exons. NCBI's taxonomy places the organism in Eukaryota, Metazoa, Chordata, Aves, Gaviiformes, Gaviidae.
UAAGAUCUUCAUGGAUCUAUUGACUUCCCUUUUUGAUUCCUUAGAACUGACCAGAGGACAGCUAGAAUGGGGAAAGGAAUAGGUGGGCUCUAUUGCUUCAGUGCACUGACUGAGAUUUGCCCCUGAUUAGGAUGUGAUGGUGAUUAUCUUGCACUGCAACAUCUGAAGGAAUAUUUUCUUUCUAAAACCAUGGACAAGACAUUAGACAGGUGCCGUUAUAGAGACAAAGAAGUACAAUUCUAAAGACCAGAUCAAGGGAGGAAUGAAAUAUAUUGCACAACAUAGUCAUGGACAUCAUGACUGAUAGACUGAGUGUAAAUAUAGAAGUACGCUAGAUUAAAUAAGCCUUCCUGAAUGUGUCUCAGGAGAGAAAGAAGAAACCAAAGUGCAUAGUUACCUUGCAUUGUAUCUGACAACAAUCCUGAUUCAAUCUGUCAAACAAAGUGUAUUGCAGUCACUUUAUUAGUGACCUUUACAGUUAGUGACUUUGAUAAAAGACCUCCCAAACUGAAGAAUGUUUAUUUUAUUUUAAUUCUGUCCUAUAGUAUGUUUCAUACACAACAUUUUUUUCAUUUAUGAUUACAUGGACAAAGGAAAUAUUUUUCUCAUUACUGGAAUAUACAGUUUACUCCAAUUUAUUUUCCAGUAAGUUUAUGUAGGCAUCUCUCACCUGUAAGACUACCAAUUGAUUGCCCUCACUUUAAACCAAAAUUUACCUUGUACAAAAAUCUGGAUUUAUUUUUCACCUUUAUCAUUGUGAAUUACAAUAUAAUGAAAACACCGAACUAUGGAACUGAUCACAUGUUGCAGACCAGUUGUAUGAUGAAUUAGUCUCUCUACUUUGUGCCAUGCUGUUACCCGUAUUGCAUCUACUGUUAGGCAUUGAAAUGUAAGAAGUUUGUCUAUAUACCUACAGAUAUUAUGUCAGUUUUAGACUCACUAUAUGACUUAUCCAUAGGAGGCUCAUUGCCUUCUUAAAACUACUAGAGGCUUCCUACAACUUUUAUGACACAUGGAUUAAGACACUAUCCCUUCUGUAUACUGAUGGAUCUGAAUAGUUUCGUAUUUCUGUCAAGGAACUAGUAGAUUGUGAAAGCUGAUUGUCCUUUUUCAAGCCGACCAACAUAAUAACAGAAGUGUACCUUAUGUAACCCUCUUUCAUGUUCAUGGUCAUUUACUCACAUGACUGCUCACUCUGAAGUCACUAGGACUUUUUCUGUAAGAAAGUAUUUGUCACUGUGAAUUCAAGUUGCACAGUCUUGACAUAAAAACAGUACAUAAUGUUUCCUGUACUCAGUUGUACAUUACAGAUUUCUUUAUUUUUCUUCCUUAAAGAACACUACUGCCUGACUCUAAAGUUAGGUAACAUGAAAAAAUGAUUAAUGGCUAAUUUGCAUUUUUUAUAGAUAUGCAGUUGCUUCUUACAAGACACAGUUUCACAGUGCAUAUCUAUAGAUAACAUUCCAUAUAGAUAACAUGGGAGUUCUAAAUUAUAAUGUAAUAAAUAUAAUUACCUCUGUGAUAACUAUAUAUAAAACAUCAGCAGCAAUGAAUAUGGUAAAACUCUUAAUAACACUUCCAUUAUAUCUAUAAAAGUAGCUCUCAACAAAAAAAACCUAAUAAAGUGUCAAAUAUUUCAUUUUUAAAAAUGUGUUUACUGUUAAAACGGUGUACUUAAAGGAAUAACAUUGCCUCUCCACUAUGAAAUGAAUGGAUAAUUGAUUUCCCACUACAAAUUCACUUUGUUUUUAUUCACCCAUCUUUUCUGCAACAACCCAUUCUUUCUUUUCAUAAGAAAUGUUGAAAAACUGUGUAUU